GACGAACGCUGGCGGCGUGCUUAACACAUGCAAGUCGAACGGACAGGCCCUGCUCUUGUGGGGUGCUCGAGUGGCGAACGGGUGAGUAACACGUGAGUAACCUGCCCUUGUCUUUGGGAUAUCUUCAGGAAACUGGGGCUAUUACCGGAUAGGAGCUCCUGCUGCACGGUGGUGGUUGGAAAGUUUCGGCGGUGGGGGAUAGACUCGCGGCUUAUCCGCUUGUUGGUGGGGUAGUGGCUUACCAAGGCUGUGACGGGUAGCCGGCCUGGGAGGGGGACCGGCCACAAUGGGACUGAGAUACGGCCCAGACUCCUACGGGAGGCAGCAGUGGGGAAUAUUGCACAAUGGGCGGAAGCCUGAGGCAGAAACGCCGCGUGCGGGAUGACGGCCUUCGGGUUGUAAACCGCUUUCGCCUGUGACGAAGCGUGAGUGACGGUAAUGGGUAAAGAAGCACCGGCUAACUACGUG
Molecule: ribosomal RNA, 468 nt
Filed under: uncultured bacterium
Lineage: Bacteria
Description: partial 16S ribosomal RNA
Rfam family: Bacterial small subunit ribosomal RNA
Source: RNAcentral